This 70-nucleotide transfer RNA is filed under the name Loxodonta africana (African savanna elephant). It matches the Rfam family "tRNA". From Rfam's summary of the family: Transfer RNA (tRNA) molecules are approximately 80 nucleotides in length. Their secondary structure includes four short double-helical elements and three loops (D, anti-codon, and T loops). Further hydrogen bonds mediate the characteristic L-shaped molecular structure. tRNAs have two regions of fundamental functional importance: the anti-codon, which is responsible for specific mRNA codon recognition, and the 3' end, to which the tRNAs corresponding amino acid is attached (by aminoacyl-tRNA synthetases). tRNAs cope with the degeneracy of the genetic code in two manners: having more than one tRNA (with a specific anti-codon) for a particular amino acid; and 'wobble' base-pairing, i.e. permitting non-standard base-pairing at the 3rd anti-codon position. The record is from Rfam by way of RNAcentral. Lineage: Eukaryota; Metazoa; Chordata; Mammalia; Proboscidea; Elephantidae.
GCAGUGGUGUCCAGUGGUAGAAUCCUCACCUUCCAUGUGGGAGACCUGGGUUCAAUUCCCAGCCAGUGCA